This 395-nucleotide RNase P RNA is filed under the name Streptomyces canus. RNAcentral describes it as "RNase P class A". It matches the Rfam family "Bacterial RNase P class A". Rfam says of the family: Ribonuclease P (RNase P) is a ubiquitous endoribonuclease, found in archaea, bacteria and eukarya as well as chloroplasts and mitochondria. Its best characterised activity is the generation of mature 5'-ends of tRNAs by cleaving the 5'-leader elements of precursor-tRNAs. The record is from RNAcentral. Lineage: Bacteria; Bacillati; Actinomycetota; Actinomycetes; Kitasatosporales; Streptomycetaceae.
CGAGCCGAGUGGACGGUCGCGUUGGGACCAAUGCGUCCCGCCGAGGAACGUCCGGACUCCACAGGGCAGGGUGGUGGCUAACGGCCACCCGGGGUGACCCGCGGUGCCACAGAAAACAGACCGCCGGGGAUUUCGGUCCCCGGUAAGGGUGAAACGGUGGUGUAAGAGACCACCAGUGCCCAGGGUGACCUGGGCAGCUAGGUAAACCCCACCCGGAGCAAGGUCAAGAGGGAGCACCCAGGUGCUCCUGCGCGGACGUUCGAGGGCUGCUCGCCCGAGUCCGCGGGUAGACCGCAUGAGGCUGGCGGCAACGUCGGCCCUAGAUGGAUGGCCGUCUCCCCGGCCGCCGUGAGGCGACCGGGUGACAGAAUCCGGCGUACAGCUCGACUCGUCUG